This is an RNA transcript of Prosopis cineraria, 2437 nucleotides long. RefSeq lists it as uncharacterized. The transcript is spliced from 7 exons. The record is from RefSeq and is a predicted model, not a curated record. Lineage: Eukaryota; Viridiplantae; Streptophyta; Magnoliopsida; Fabales; Fabaceae.
CACAACCCUAUCUCUUCACACGCAUCCCUAAUCAGACAACAACAUAAAAGUGUGUUGUAGUCCAUCGAUUGUGGUGCAAACGGCGACUUGAGUAAUGACUGAGUGCGCAUCAUGUGUGAAAGUUGUCAUUUUGUCCGAGCGAGCACAGGACUUGUAAUCUAUAUAUUUGGCAAUCGAGAAUCAUGGUUAAGACAAGAGACGUGGCUCGUUCGAGGCUUAGUGGAUUACAUGUUUAUGCACAGGACUUGAAAAAGAAAGGCAAGGUCAAGGGACUGCAAAAUGCUGCUGAUGUUGCAAGAAAGGGUUAGAAGAAUAUGUUAGAAGAAGUAAGGAACCACUUCAACAAAAUGAUUGAGGAUGAAAGGCAUCAUAAAGCAUAUGUUUCUUCAUCUAAUGAAGUAUUUAAAGAAAGACUGUUCACACAUUACUCACCUAAACAAGUCUGUGAAGUGGCUAAACAUGUGAAACAGAAUGAAAGGCUUAUGGCGAGGGCCAAUGCAACUGGUUUCGUAAGAUUCUUGACCUCAAGUACACGCAGAUAAAUCAUGCUCUAUGUGGAAGUUUGUUAAGAGCAACUGACCCAAAAGCAAGAACAAUAUCAAUAAGGCAAACUAAGCAACAAGUAGAUGCCAACAAUGUGCAUAUGCUUAUGGGCCUACGUAAAGAAGGAGGAGAGGGGUUGAAGAAGUUGAUCUAAAAGGUGAGUUAUACAAUGAAUUGAAAGGGAAGUAUGUUAGACUGAGAUUUUCUGACAUAAAAAACAAGAUCAUUAGAGGUGACGAAGAUGAUAUGUUUGAGCCCUUGCUUGUUCUGUACAUAUUAGGUACGCUUUUGUGUCCCCCUGCGAGAGGAGAAGUAACUUCACGAUUGGUGAAGAUCAUUACUUGUGAGAAAACAACUCUGAAUUCCUAUAAUUGGAGUGAAUUUGUUAUUAAGGAGUUAAUGAGGGAGGUCAAGGAGUACAAGAAGGUUGCAUCUAAUAGGGAGGAAAGAUUAUACGUUAGUGGCUGCCUCUACUUCUUGAUGAUUAUGUUUCUUCAAAACUUUUCCUUGGAUGGUAAUGAGGUGAUCGAGACAAGGGAUGCAUUACUCUAUUGGGAUGAUGAGAAGAUCAAGAAAGCUACCAUGAAGGAGAAAGAGAGUGUUCGAGGGAUCCUGUUUUCAGGUUCUGCAAUAGAGGUGGAAUGCAUGGGACCCACAUCGAUCCUCAAGAUCAAAGAACCCAAGAAACCUACACCGCAGGUAGUACUCAUUAAACCUAUGCAAUAGAAAGACAAUGAAGAUGGUGAUCCUCCACACCCUAAGUUUGAUGAUCUAAAAAUGAAUUGUAUAUAUCACCACAUAAUGGGAUCGUUGGGUGAUGCUAUAGCUAAGAGGUCGUUACAUUUGCAAUCGAAAUCAGGACAAGGUGUUGGUGCAUUUAGUGUUGAAGCAAAUGAAGAUGAUGUUGUGAGGUUUGUGCUGAAGGCUAAAUUACAAAGGAUGAAAUGCAAAUACAAGGAGGUUUCAAUGAGUUUAUUAGGAGAAAAAGGAAGCAAUGUACGAGUCAACGAUGACAUUACUAAAGGGAGUGAUGUGGAGGGCAUGGAAGUAGGAGGCAAGGAUCCAAUCGAAGUUGAAGUUGGGGCUCAAGUGAAUCCCAUUAUUGUCAACUUUGAGCAAACUCAUGGUGACACACUUAGGUUACAAUUGUCAUCAGUAAAGCCUUUGCGAUUAGAUGUGCUUGAAGAGGAGGACACUUACCACAGACCAACUCUUGAACAAGGCAUAGAUGGAGGUGAGACUAUAAUGGCAACCCUUAUAAAGCCCUCAUGUUUCUUACUUUCACCCUUCUUCUCAUAUGCAUGCUAGCCUUUAGAACAAGAGAGUUUGUACAACAUGUACACUAGUAAGCCAAAACGUGGACAAGAGGAUGAUGUUGUUUGUCAAGUAGAUGGGCUCUUCUUAACCAAGAGAGAUAUGUGUUGCUUUGGCCCUAGAUGAUGGAUAAGUAAUUGGGUGGUGAUUAUGAUUUGUAAGAUUUUAAAUUUAGAGCGGAGUCAUGAUGGGCCUUUAAAACGCCUCAUUUUAGAUCCUUUACUGGUGGGAAGCAUGUUAUUGAAUGGGGUCUAAUGGAAGCUGGAAGACCGCAUGAGAUUGAUUAACUCUAAUCGAUCCCAUUAUGAUAUCUUAGCUUGUGAGAUUAUCUUUGCGUCUGUAUGUAAAGAUGAGCAUUGGUGUUGUUACGUUUUUGUCAAGAGGGACAUGACAUUGUACCUUCUUGAUUCAAUGUUACUUGUGACUAAUGGUCUAGCGAGACAACAGUUGAUCCAAGCAAAGAUUGAUCAAGGAAGACAAAUGGCUCAAAACUUUGUCAAAGUUCUUGCAUACUUAUUCCCAGAUGAAUUUGGGCAUAAUCCUACCAUUGACUUCAAAAUUGCCAAGGUUCCAUAACAGA